RNAcentral lists this ribosomal RNA (2848 nucleotides) under Algicella marina. RNAcentral's name for it is "Rhodobacteraceae bacterium 9Alg 56 23S ribosomal RNA". It matches the Rfam family "Bacterial large subunit ribosomal RNA". Lineage: Bacteria; Pseudomonadati; Pseudomonadota; Alphaproteobacteria; Rhodobacterales; Paracoccaceae. The record is from RNAcentral.
GAUCGGAUCAAGCGCGAGAAGGGCGUUUGGUGGAUGCCUAGGCAGUCAGAGGCGAUGAAGGACGUGAUAACCUGCGAUAAGCGGGGGGGAACCGGUAAUAGGUUUUGAUCCCCCGAUUUCCGAAUGGGGCAACCCACCUGACAGUUUGUUAUAAUUUGCCAUCGGCAAUUUAUAAUGGGCUGAACCAGGUACUUAGGACCUGAAUACAUAGGGUUUUAAGAGCAAACCCGGGGAACUGAAACAUCUCAUUACCCGGAGGAAAGGACAUCAACAGAGACUCCGUUAGUAGCGGCGAGCGAACGCGGACCAGCCGAGCAUUGAUCGUGAGCAGAACCAGUUGGAAAGCUGGGCAAUAUGGGUGACAGCCCCGUAUGCGAAGCGAGAUAUGACGUAUCAAGUAGGGCGGGACACGUGAAAUCCUGUUCGAAGAUGGGGGGACCACCCUCCAAGGCUAAGUACUCCUGACUGACCGAUAGCGAACCAGUACCGUGAGGGAAAGGUGAAAAGCACCCCGACAAGGGGAGUGAAACAGAUCCUGAAACCGGACGCCUACAAACAGUCGGAGCCUCCUUGCGAGGUGACGGCGUACCUUUUGUAUAAUGGGUCAACGACUUGGUCUCACUAGCAAGCUUAAGCCGAUAGGUGUAGGCGCAGCGAAAGCGAGUCUUAAUAGGGCGAAUGAGUUAGUGGGAUCAGACCCGAAACCGAGUGAUCUAGGCAUGGCCAGGCUGAAGAUGCAGUAACAUGCAUUGGAGGGCCGAACCCACAUCCGUUGAAAAGGAUCGGGAUGAGCUGUGCCUAGGGGUGAAAGGCCAAUCAAACUCGGAGAUAGCUGGUUCUCCGCGAAAUCUAUUUAGGUAGAGCGUCAGACGAAUACUCUCGGGGGUAGAGCACUGGAUGGGUAAUGGGGACCCACAGUCUUACUGAUCCUAACCAAACUCCGAAUACCGAGAAGUACUAUCUGGCAGACACACGGCGGAUGCUAACGUCCGUCGUGGAGAGGGAAACAACCCUGACCUCCAGCUAAGGCCCCUAAUUCAUGGCUAAGUGGGAAAGCAGGUGAGACGACCAAAACAACCAGGAGGUUGGCUUAGAAGCAGCCAUCCUUUAAAGAUAGCGUAACAGCUCACUGGUCUAGAUAAGUUGUCUUGCGGCGAAGAUGUACCGGGGCUCAAGCCAUGAGCCGAAGCUGAGGAUGCACGUUGUAAAACGUGCGUGGUAGCGGAGCGUUCUGUUCAUAAACCCUGACCUCUUUAUUGUCCUUCGGGGCGAUGCGGAGGUUGAGGGUUUUGCUGUGAAGCAUCUCUGUAAGGGGGUGUGGAGCGUUCAGAAGUGAGAAUGUUGACAUGAGUAGCGAUAAAGGGAGUGAGAGACUCCCUCGCCGAAAGUCCAAGGGUUCCUGCUUAAAGCUAAUCUGAGCAGGGUAAGCCGACCCCUAAGGCGAGGCCGAAAGGCGUAGUCGAUGGGAACCAGGUUAAUAUUCCUGGGCCAGGAGGAUUGUGACGGAUCCCGGAUGUAGUUCACUCUUAUCGGAUUGAGUGGGCUGCUGAGGGGUCCCUGGAAAUAGCCCUCCAUUGGAUCGUACCCGAAACCGACACAGGUGGACUGGUAGAGCAUACCAAGGCGCUUGAGAGAACUGCAUUGAAGGAACUCGGCAAAAUACCUCCGUAAGUUCGCGAGAAGGAGGCCCAGUUCUUACGCAAGUAUAGACUGGGGGCACAAACCAGGGGGUGGCGACUGUUUACUAAAAACACAGGGCUCUGCGAAGUCGCAAGACGACGUAUAGGGUCUGACGCCUGCCCGGUGCCGGAAGGUUAAAAGGAGAUGUGAGAGCGUCGAAUUGAAGCCCCGGUAAACGGCGGCCGUAACUAUAACGGUCCUAAGGUAGCGAAAUUCCUUGUCGGGUAAGUUCCGACCUGCACGAAUGGCGUAACGACUUCCCCGCUGUCUCCAAUGCAGACUCAGCGAAAUUGAAUUCCCCGUGAAGAUGCGGGGUUCCCGCGGUCAGACGGAAAGACCCCGUGCACCUUUACUACAGCUUCAGACUGGCAUUAGCCUCUCGAUGUGCAGGAUAGGUGGUAGGCUUUGAAGCGGGAACGCCAGUUUCCGUGGAGCCAUCCUUGAGAUACCACCCUUCGCGUCGUUGAUGUCUAACCGCGGACCGUUAUCCGGUUCCGGGACCCUCUGUGGCGGGUAGUUUGACUGGGGCGGUCGCCUCCUAAAGAGUAACGGAGGCGCGCGAUGGUGGGCUCAGGUUGGUCGGAAAUCAACCGUCGAGUGCAAUGGCAUAAGCCCGCCUGACUGCGAGACUGACAAGUCGAGCAGAGACGAAAGUCGGCCAUAGUGAUCCGGUGGUCCCGAGUGGAAGGGCCAUCGCUCAACGGAUAAAAGGUACGCCGGGGAUAACAGGCUGAUACUGCCCAAGAGUCCAUAUCGACGGCAGUGUUUGGCACCUCGAUGUCGGCUCAUCUCAUCCUGGGGCUGGAGCAGGUCCCAAGGGUACGGCUGUUCGCCGUUUAAAGAGGUACGUGAGCUGGGUUUAGAACGUCGUGAGACAGUUCGGUCCCUAUCUGCCGUGGGUGUAGGAGACUUGAGAGGAGUUGCCCCUAGUACGAGAGGACCGGGGUGAACGCACCACUGGUGGACCAGUUGUCGUGCCAACGGCAGUGCUGGGUAGCUAUGUGCGGACAGGAUAACCGCUGAAAGCAUCUAAGCGGGAAGCCCCCCUCAAAACCAGGUCUCCCUGAGGGCCGUGGUAGACCACCACGUCGAUAGGCUGGAGAUGUAAGCGCAGCAAUGCGUUCAGUUGACCAGUACUAAUUGCCCGAUAGGCUUGAUACCGAUCCAG